Molecule: long non-coding RNA, 199 nt
Filed under: Elaeis guineensis (African oil palm)
Lineage: Eukaryota; Viridiplantae; Streptophyta; Magnoliopsida; Arecales; Arecaceae
Description: long non-coding RNA (EGUI_LNC080675)
Source: RNAcentral
UUCUUGGAUUUGGAUGCAUUCCUUGGUAUUAUGGCCAGGGUCGUGACAGUAAAGACAGUACUUAUUUGGAUUGUACUGAUCUGAUUGGGACCGUAUCCUCCUUGUCUAGGAAAAUUGCUCUUUAAUCUUCAUUAACACUUGAGUUCUGGAUGCAUUAAGGGGGUGUAGUUCAUGAACCUCCUUUAUGGCAAUAAGCACC